Molecule: non-coding RNA, 372 nt
Organism: Conger conger (European conger)
Lineage: Eukaryota; Metazoa; Chordata; Actinopteri; Anguilliformes; Congridae
Source: the annotation of a RefSeq genome assembly
AUGACUGUUAUAACCAGCCUGCUUCUCAUUACAGUGUUCUUUACAAGUGUUGAAUGUCAGACACUGACUGAGUCUGAACCAGCAGUUAAAAAGCCUGGAGAAUCCCACAAACUGACCUGUACAGCCUCUGGGUUCACACUCAGCAGCUACUGGAUGGGCUGGAUCAGACAGGCUCCUGGGAAGGGGCUGGAGUGGGUGGGAUCUCAGUAUAGCAGCUCGAGUUAUUAUGCCCAGUCUGUUCAGGGAAGAUUCACCAUCUCCAGAGACAAUAGCCAGAACCAGCUGUAUUUACAGAUGAACAGCCUGACAGCUGAAGACACUGCUGUGUAUUACUGUAGCCACAGCAGAGAACUGGAUCUAAUGAAGGAAUAA